This 450-nucleotide ribosomal RNA is filed under the name uncultured bacterium. Its description in RNAcentral is "partial 16S ribosomal RNA". It matches the Rfam family "Bacterial small subunit ribosomal RNA", at positions 338 to 795 of the family's 1533-position model. The record is from RNAcentral.
CCUACGGGGGGCUGCAGUAAGGAAUAUUGGUCAAUGGACGAAAGUCUGAACCAGCCAUCCCGCGUGCAGGAUGAAAGCCCUAUGGGUUGUAAACUGCUUUUAGCAGAGAAGAAAAGCUUUCAUUAAUGAGAGUCUGACGGUAUCUGCAGAAUAAGCACCGGCUAACUCCGUGCCAGCAGCCGCGGUAAUACGGAGGGUGCGAGCGUUAUCCGGUAUUACUGGGUCUAAGGGGUGCGUUUACGGCGUAUUAGAAAUCUGGGCGCUUAACGAUAAAAUUGCCAAUGAUACUGGGACUCUUGAAUGGGGUUGAGGUUAGCGGAAUGUGACAUGUAGCGGUGAAAUGCAUAGAUAUGUCAUGGAACACCAAUUGCGAAGGCAGCUAACUGGGCCGUGAUUGACGCUGAGGCACGAAAGCGUGGGUAGCGAACAGGAUUAGAUACCCCAGUAGUC